UAGAAAACAGAAUAUCCUUAUGCUUGAUUAAAUUAUGAAUGAAGUGUUGCAACAGCGCCUGUUGCUGGCGAGAAGUGGUAUGUACGGUCACCUGUGGGAAGUGCUCAGAACUGUGACGCCUCCAAACUGGUGAGACACGUUUUUGUAUUGUCCGGGAUUGAUUACUAUUUAGUGAAUAUUGACUGUUUAUAUUUUGAUUAGUACUUUGUAACAGACACAUAAAAAGUUUCGCUAAUUGGUAUUGACCAAAACUGUAUCCUAGAGUGAUAUUUUAAAGACAAUAACACACUUUUACUGUGUAAACUAAUUGGUGAUUAUUGAUGUGUUAUUUAGAGAAUCCCGUGACCCAAGUGGACUCACAGUCUCACAAUUUGCACUGUUUUACAGAACUGUGACGCCUCCAAACUGAGAAUCCCGUGACCCAAGUGGACUCACAGUCUCACAAUUUGCACUGUUUUACAGGACACUGUUAUUAAAGAAAUUCAUAAUCCAC
This is a long non-coding RNA of Nerophis ophidion (straightnose pipefish), 493 nucleotides long. RefSeq lists it as uncharacterized. Lineage: Eukaryota; Metazoa; Chordata; Actinopteri; Syngnathiformes; Syngnathidae. The record is from RefSeq and is a predicted model, not a curated record. The transcript is spliced from 2 exons.